ACGGGAGGCAGCAGUGGGGAAUAUUGCGCAAUGGGGGAAACCCUGACGCAGCAACGCCGCGUGAAGGAAGAAGGCCUUCGGGUUGUAAACUUUUGUCGCAAAGGAAGAAAAAAAUGACGGUACUUUGUGAGAAAGCCACGGCUAACUACGUGCCAGCAGCCGCGGUAAUACGUAGGUGGCGAGCGUUGUCCGGAUUUACUGGGUGUAAAGGGCGCGCAGGCGGGCUUGCAAGUCAGAUGUGAAAUACCGGGGCUUAACCUCGGGGCUGCAUUUGAAACUGUAAGUCUUGAGUGUCGGAGAGGAAAGCGGAAUUCCUAGUGUAGCGGUGAAAUGCGUAGAUAUUAGGAGGAACACCAGUGGCGAAGGCGGCUUUCUGGACGAUAACUGACGCUGAGGCGCGAAAGUGUGGGGAGCAAACAGGAUUAGAUACCCUGGUA
This 437-nucleotide ribosomal RNA is filed under the name uncultured Clostridium sp. RNAcentral describes it as "partial 16S ribosomal RNA". It matches the Rfam family "Bacterial small subunit ribosomal RNA", at positions 341 to 792 of the family's 1533-position model. The record is from RNAcentral. Lineage: Bacteria; Bacillati; Bacillota; Clostridia; Eubacteriales; Clostridiaceae.